GAUGAACGCUGGCGGCGUGCCUAAUACAUGCAAGUCGAGCGAACAGACGAGGAGCUUGCUCCUCUGACGUUAGCGGCGGACGGGUGAGUAACACGUGGAUAACCUACCUAUAAGACUGGGAUAACUUCGGGAAACCGGAGCUAAUACCGGAUAAUAUAUUGAACCGCAUGGUUCAAUAGUGAAAGACGGUUUUGCUGUCACUUAUAGAUGGAUCCGCGCCGCAUUAGCUAGUUGGUAAGGUAACGGCUUACCAAGGCAACGAUGCGUAGCCGACCUGAGAGGGGAAUCGCACAACGGGACAGAGAGACGGGCGCGAGACCCCACGGGGGGGCAAGAGGGGGAAAUUGUCCGAAAGGGGGAAACGCGAGCGAGACAAACCCCGGGGGGGUAAAAGAGGUUUUGGGAGGGAAAAACUUUUUUUUGGGGAAAAAAAAAAUGGGUAAAUAACUAGGCCCGUUUUGGGGACCCAAAAAAAAAAAGCCGGGGAAAACCACG
This 495-nucleotide ribosomal RNA is filed under the name uncultured bacterium. RNAcentral's name for it is "partial 16S ribosomal RNA". It matches the Rfam family "Bacterial small subunit ribosomal RNA", at positions 28 to 505 of the family's 1533-position model. The record is from RNAcentral.